Molecule: ribosomal RNA, 482 nt
Filed under: uncultured bacterium
Lineage: Bacteria
Description: partial 16S ribosomal RNA
Rfam family: Bacterial small subunit ribosomal RNA
Source: RNAcentral
AAUGGACGUUGGCGGCGUGGAUUAGGCAUGCAAGUCGAGCGAGAACCGUAGCAAUACGGGGACAGCGGCGAAAGGGACAGUAAUGUGUAGGUACCUACCCCUGGGUUCGGGAUAGCUGCGGGAAACUGCAGGUAAUACCGAAUAAUGUCUCCGGACCAAAGGUGUGAUUCCACCUUGGGAGGGGCCUGCAUCCUAUUAGCUUGUUGGCGGGGUAACGGCCCAACAAGGCAACGAUGGGUAGCGGGUGUGAGAGCACGACCCGCGUCAUUGGGACUGAGAUACUGCCCAGACGCCUACGGGUGGCUGCAGUCGAGGAUCUUCGGCAAUGGGCGAAAGCCUGACCGAGCGACGCCGCGUGCGGGAUGAAGGCCUUCGGGUUGUAAACCGCUGUCGUAGAGGAGGAAAUGCAGGGGGGUUCUCCCCUUUGCUUGACCUAUUCUAGGAGGAAGUACGGGCUAAGUUCGUGCCAGCAGCCGCAGUAA